GUCUACGGCCAUGCCACCCUGAACAAACCCGAUCCCAUCUGAUCUCGGAAGCUAAGCAGGGUUGGGCCUGGUUAGUACUUGGAUGGGAGACCACCUAGGAAGACCAAGUGCUGUAGGCG
RNAcentral lists this ribosomal RNA (119 nucleotides) under Pteropus alecto (black flying fox). The record is from RNAcentral. Lineage: Eukaryota; Metazoa; Chordata; Mammalia; Chiroptera; Pteropodidae.